CCUACGGGGAGCAGCAGUGAGGAAUAUUGGUCAAUGGACGAGAGUCUGAACCAGCCAAGUAGCGUGAAGGAUGACUGCCCUAUGGGUUGUAAACUUCUUUUAUAUGGGAAUAAAAUGUUCCACGUGUGGGAUUUUGUAUGUACCAUAUGAAUAAGGAUCGGCUAACUCCGUGCCAGCAGCCGCGGUAAUACGGAGGAUCCGAGCGUUAUCCGGAUUUAUUGGGUUUAAAGGGAGCGUAGGUGGAUUGUUAAGUCAGUUGUGAAAGUUUGCGGCUCAACCGUAAAAUUGCAGUUGAAACUGGCAGUCUUGAAUACAGUAGAGGUGGGCGGAAUUCGUGGUGUAGCGGUGAAAUGCUUAGAUAUCACGAAGAACUCCGAUUGCGAAGGCAGUUCACUGGACUGCAACUGACACUGAGGCUCGAAAGUGUGGGUAUCAAACAGGAUUAGAUACCCGAGUAGUC
This 460-nucleotide ribosomal RNA is filed under the name uncultured bacterium. RNAcentral's name for it is "partial 16S ribosomal RNA". It matches the Rfam family "Bacterial small subunit ribosomal RNA", at positions 338 to 795 of the family's 1533-position model. The record is from RNAcentral.